UAGGGAAUCUUCCGCAAUGGGCGAAAGCCUGACGGAGCAACGCCGCGUGAGUGAUGAAGGUCUUCGGAUCGUAAAACUCUGUUAUUAGGGAAGAACAAAUGUGUAAGUAACUAUGCACGUCUUGACGGUACCCAAUCAGAAAGCCACGGCUAACUACGUGCCAGCAGCCGCGGUAAUACGUAGGUGGCAAGCGUUAUCCGGAAUUAUUGGGCGUAAAGCGCGCGUAGGCGGUUUUUUAAGUCUGAUGUGAAAGCCCACGGCUCAACCGUGGAGGGUCAUUGGAAACUGGAAAACUUGAGUGCAGAAGAGGAAAGUGGAAUUCCAUGUGUAGCGGUGAAAUGCGCAGAGAUAUGGAGGAACACCAGUGGCGAAGGCGACUUUCUGGUCUGUAACUGACGCUGAUGUGCGAAAGCGUGGGGAUCAAACAGG
This 429-nucleotide ribosomal RNA is filed under the name Actinomycetes bacterium. RNAcentral's name for it is "Actinobacteria bacterium partial 16S ribosomal RNA". It matches the Rfam family "Bacterial small subunit ribosomal RNA", at positions 355 to 776 of the family's 1533-position model. Lineage: Bacteria; Bacillati; Actinomycetota; Actinomycetes. The record is from RNAcentral.